UGGGGAAUAUUGGACAAUGGGCGAAAGCCUGAUCCAGCAAUGCCGCGUGAGUGAUGAAGGCCUUAGGGUUGUAAAGCUCUUUUACCCGGGAAGAUAAUGACUGUACCGGGAGAAUAAGCUCCGGCUAACUCCGUGCCAGCAGCCGCGGUAAUACGGAGGGAGCUAGCGUUGUUCGGAAUUACUGGGCGUAAAGCGCACGUAGGCGGCUUUGUAAGUUAGAGGUGAAAGCCUGGUGCUCAACACCAGAACUGCCUUUAAGACUGCAUCGCUUGAAUCAUGGAGAGGCGGGUGGAAUUCCGAGUGUAGAGGUGAAAUUCGUAGAUAUUCGGAAGAACACCAGUGGCGAAGGCGGCCCGCUGGACAUGUAUUGACGCUGAGGUGCGAAAGCGUGGGGAGCAAACA
RNAcentral lists this ribosomal RNA (402 nucleotides) under uncultured Sphingomonas sp. RNAcentral describes it as "bacterial SSU rRNA". It matches the Rfam family "Bacterial small subunit ribosomal RNA", at positions 355 to 774 of the family's 1533-position model. RNAcentral also lists the same sequence under 1 other name. The record is from RNAcentral. Lineage: Bacteria; Pseudomonadati; Pseudomonadota; Alphaproteobacteria; Sphingomonadales; Sphingomonadaceae.